This 460-nucleotide ribosomal RNA is filed under the name uncultured bacterium. RNAcentral's name for it is "partial 16S ribosomal RNA". It matches the Rfam family "Bacterial small subunit ribosomal RNA", at positions 338 to 795 of the family's 1533-position model. The record is from RNAcentral.
CCUACGGGAGGCAGCAGUGAGGAAUAUUGGUCAAUGGACGAGAGUCUGAACCAGCCAAGUAGCGUGAAGGAUGACGGCCCUAUGGGUGGUAAACUUCUUUUAUAAAGGAAUAAAACGAGGCACGUGUGCCUUUUUGCAUGUACUUUAUGAAUAAGGAUCGGCUAACUCAGUGCCAGCAGCCGCGGUAAUACGGAGGAUCCGAGCGUUAUCCGGAUUUAUUGGGGUUAAAGGGAGCGUAGAUGGGUUGUUAAGUCAGUUGUGAAAGUUUGCGGCUUAACCGUAAAAUUGCAAUUGAUACUGGCAGUCUUGAGUACAGUUGAGGUAGGCGGAAUUCGUGGUGUAGCGGUGAAAUGCUUAGAUAUCACGAAGAACCCCGAUUGCGAAGGCAGCUUACUAAACUGUGACUGACAUUGAUGCUCGAAAGUGUGGGUAUCAAACAGGAUUAGAUACCCGGGUAGUC